Heterocephalus glaber (naked mole-rat) is the source of this 1804-nucleotide non-coding RNA. NCBI's taxonomy places the organism in Eukaryota, Metazoa, Chordata, Mammalia, Rodentia, Bathyergidae. The record is from RefSeq and is a predicted model, not a curated record.
CCACGGCAACGACGCAGGUCCAAAAGGGUGGAGGCGAGGAAAGCCUUGAACUGGUGGAGACAGAGGCGGAGCUUGCUGCGGAAGUGGCUUUUUUGGCCAUUACUGCCGGGGAAAGAUGCUGCGUUUGGCGUGGUUGUUUUUGUCCCUGGAUCUGUGCGUCCUCCUGGUGGGGCUAGUGGAGGCCCCAAGCCCGGUGGAGCCGCCGGAGCGGAGCCGGCCGUACGCGGUGCUGCGCGGGCAGAACCUGGUGUUGAUGGGAACCAUUUUCAGCAUCCUACUGGUGACUGUCAUCCUUAUGGCAUUUUGUGUCUACAAGCCCAUUCGGCGUCGGUGACACCAAGCAAGUUGUGCCACGAGUUUUUGGAAACAGAAUAAGCUGUGAUGCACAUGAGCCAGUGGAGAAGUUGGAAUCAGAACCUUCCUACUUGGAAAUGUCCUUUGGUCUGGACAGUUGGUAAAUCCGAAGUGACUUAGAAGAAACGUCUACUAGCAAUGAUAUUUUCCUAAGAUCAUGCAGAUAACUGGCUGUUGAGUCUGCUUAUCAGUGUUCCUUUUUGAAAGGCUGUACUUGUUAAAAGUAAGGCCUGAGCCAGGCAUUUAGCUCAGUGGUUUCACUGCCUGCUGCGCAAGUGCAAGGACCCGAAUUUGAUCCCUGGUACCAAAAAAAAAAGUAAGGCCUGCAACUCUAAGGUUUAAUGUAAAGAUGUAAUGCUUGUGAGAAACAAAACAUUCUAAUCCUGUGUCUGUAAGAACCAAACUGGAAAGGACUAAUCAUUAAUGCUUGAAAUGGAGGGAGGGAGGCUAAACAUGUAGACAUUCCCUGCUUUAUUUUUUUGUUUAAUUUUUUUUUUGGUACUGGGGAUCGAACUCAGGACCUUGCACUUGCAAGGCAGCUGCGGCACCACUGAGCUAAAGCCUUGGCCCAACAUUCCCUGCUUUAGAGCCAUUCAGUUAUAGUACAUUACGAAGGACACGUUUUUAUUAUACUGAAUUGACCUAGAAUAGUGGUGGCAAACAUAGGGGCAGCAGGCUGUUUGUAUCAUUGAAAGCUCUAAAAGGUUCACCAUCACUGACCUAGAAUGUCCUGGUUGCAAAGCAGUGUCUAUUAUGGGCAAUUUAGGCCAGCAUUCCUCACCUGAACCUGGAUGUGUACUCAGAUGGCCCCACUGAAAUCAGGGUUGCAUCAGGUAGGCCUAUUACCAUGUGCACCCUUGGCCUAGAAAGUUCCAGGGUUGGCCUGAAAAUGUUCCUCAUUAGCCCAUCAGAACAAGGGUCCUAUCCUGCUCAACCAUUGAUCUGCUUUGUACUGUUUAAGUUUAUGCAGCCCUUGGCUUAAAACUCAUGCUAGCCUUUCAUAUUGGGAAUCCAAGAGACUCAGCAGGAUCCCUCUAUCAGCCCUUAAUGUGCUCAACUAAGAAGUGCAUGUCCACUGUGCAGGCUGGUGUGUUUACACGGAUUUAAUUUCAACUUUGAAAAUGCUGCUGUUACUUUGCACUGUUGGUGAAACUGGAUUAUUUUUUCCCUGGUUGAAAUGGUAAUUCAUAUUUAAUAAGUUGUUAGUGAUUAUUUUAAAGGUGCUAGAUUUUUGUUAUGAAAUUGAAAUGCUUAUGUUCCACUGAAGCGCAGCACUGAUUAUUUUUCUUUUUAACAACCUGCAUUCAAUGUGAAGUAACUAAUGAGGGCUACUGUCACUAUUUGACCCAAGGAUUUAGUUUGUAAGCUUCUAAAAUUGAGCCAUAAAAUUUUCACUGUUCUCUCCAUUUGAGCAAAAUGUCAAUUAAAAUUAAAAUUCUAUAUAGGGUUU